GUUUUCAACUACAGUUUUUUCUGUACUGUAUUUUGUUUUAUUCACUCUUCUUUUCCACACCUUUCUUUAACUCCAAGCUUUUUCAUACUCACAGUACUUUUUGUAUUAUUAUAUGAUUGAUUUGUAUUAAAAAACUUGUAUAUUAUAGAGAAUCUUUAAUACCCUUUUCGAGGCUUUCGUAUUAAUCAUCAUGUAUUGUGUAGAUAACGUUGAUUGUUAAUAAAACUCUGUACUUUUUUCCUUAUUUUGCUGGAAUACGAAUUAUUUCACUUUCUUUUUCCCUUAAACACGAUUCCUCGAAGUAAUUUUGCUUGAAUCAUUGUAACCCAGAUCAGCAAAAGCUUCGUAGUUUGGUGGGUAGUCGUUUUUUUUCUGAAGUUCUAUAAGCUGGAAUCUUGAUCUCUCUGAAGGAGGAUAUGGGUUCUCGUUCUCGGGAGUCUCGUCCGUGGACUUUAGAUGGUUUAAUAAGAGCUUUUAUUGAUCUUGCUGUGGCUUAUUUUCUGCUAUGUGUAUCGACUUUUGUGUUCUUUGCGGCCAGGUUUUUGAGUAUGGUGGGGUUGGAAUUGCCAUGUCCUUGUGAUGGGUUUUUGGGGUACCAAAAUGGCGAUUAUUGCUGGCACAGUUUGCUUAUCGAUUGGCCUAUUAGAAAGAUCUAUGAUGUUCAGAUGAGUGCGAGGAGUAAGUUCCCUUUUGAUUUGGUUUGGUCUCGACUUAGUGAAAGCAACUCCAACAAGAAGAAGUUGCUUGGAAAUGGGUUUGUUGAAUUGGAAAGCGAAGCAUGCUCUAGUUCAUUUUCGAGUUCUGGAGUUCAAAAUCUGGUUGAUAGAGAAAAUGGGUUUGACUCUAAGGGAAAGAGGCUUGUGAAUUUAAAGCAAAGGCAUGGAUUUCGGAGGCGUAGGAGGGCUACUCUUGGAUAUGGAAAAUUUGCCCCUGUUUUCCCAAAUGAUAUUUUGUCCUCGGUUGCUAGUGUUGUCCCUUCUCCUUGUGAUUGCAGAGAAAUGAAAAAAGAAUAUGGUCCACAAGAUGAUGUAAAUGCACCAAUUGGAAAUUACAAAAGUGAGAGGACUUGCCAUAGUUUUGAAUUGAGUGGAUCAUUUGGUGACAGUAAUGACACUUACGAGCAGCAUCCGAUUUGCUCUGAUAAAUUCAUUAGUGUUACAGAAGAAAAGAGAGACGUUGCUGAAUCUGAAUAUGAUAAAGUCAGGAUGUUGGAGCGAGCUCUAGAAGAAGAGAAAGCUGCUUGUCUUGCUCUUUACCUUGAACUGGAGAAAGAGAGAGCUGCUGCUGCAAGUGCUGCGGACGAAGCAAUGGCAAUGAUAUCCCGGCUUCAGAAAGAUAAGGCAUCAAUGGAAUUCGAAGCCAGACAGUGUCUGAGGAUGAUAGAGGAAAAAUUUGCUUAUGAUGAAGAAGAGAUGGACAUUUUGAAAGAGAUUCUUGUUAAGAGGGAGAGGGAGAAUCAUUUUUUGGAGAAAGAAGUUGAGACAUAUAGGCGUAUGAGCUUUACAGGAGACGAGCAAGCGCAGGGUGAUUUUAGUGAGACAUUGGAAGAAUGGGGACAAAGGCCUUUAUCUUCACAUUAUUCAAAUCCAGAUCCACAACUAAUGCUGCACAUGACAGUCGAUACUAAAUCUGGCUAUAACCAUAUGGAAAAUGAUGCAGAUUUUCUUUCAAGCCACGAGGUUCCAAUUGUUGAGGAGCCAAGCCAUUCUAAUGGACAUGAUUUGAUUGACAAAACAGUACUUUUAGUAGGGAAAGAAAGGGAACAACAAGAAAGUUUAAUAUGCCAAGACGUGACAGCUGAAGCACCCCAGCCUUAUACUGGUGAUGAGAAAACAUUAUAUUGCGACGAAGAAGAGCUACAGAAAAAUGAAAUGCCUAAGAACCAUGUUGAUCACAAUAUGUCUAAUUAGGCGGCUGAAGUUAGCAGUAACAUUGAAAUUUGAGACUUGAGAUUGGAUGGGAUAGAGGAAGGCCAUGGCUAGUGAAAAACAAAAAAAGAAUCCAUUUUCUAAGCAAAAUAGGAAGAUGGGUUGUAAAACAUCUCGAACAGUCUUCAACUUCUAAGGUGAAAAAAAAAAGAAUUGCUGCAAGAAUUAACCUUGGGAAUCCUAUGAAGAAGAUUCUCCUGAAAUCAUGUACAGUAACCUCUAUGUACGGUUGAUGGUUUAGUUAUCUGUAAAUUCAACAUAUGAGACAACAUUAAUUGGCAUUUUUAGUUGGGUGCUUUUAGUUUUGAAGUUUAUAUUGAUAUGUAGUGUAGUAUGUGUAUAUAUUUUUAGUACAAUUCCCUUAUAAAGGUUUCACUUUAAGUCUUA
RNA transcript from Humulus lupulus (European hop), 2315 nucleotides. RefSeq lists it as uncharacterized. The transcript has 4 exons. The record is from RefSeq and is a predicted model, not a curated record. Lineage: Eukaryota; Viridiplantae; Streptophyta; Magnoliopsida; Rosales; Cannabaceae.